AUUGAACGCUGGCGGCAGGCCUAACACAUGCAAGUCGAGCGGAUGAAGGGAGCUUGCUCCUGGAUUCAGCGGCGGACGGGUGAGUAAUGCCUAGGAAUCUGCCUGGUAGUGGGGGAUAACGUCCGGAAACGGGCGCUAAUACCGCAUACGUCCUGAGGGAGAAAGUGGGGGAUCUUCGGACCUCACGCUAUCAGAUGAGCCUAGGUCGGAUUAGCUAGUUGGUGGGGUAAAGGCCUACCAAGGCGACGAUCCGUAACUGGUCUGAGAGGAUGAUCAGUCACACUGGAAAUGAGACACGGUCCAGACUCCUACGGGAGGAAGCAGUGGGGAAUAUUGGACGAUGGGCGAAAGCCUGAUCCAGCCAUGACGCGUGUGUGAAGAAGGUCUUCGGAUUGUAGAGCACUUUAAGUUGGGAGGAAGGGCAGUAAGUUAAUACCUUGCUGUUUUGACGUUACCAACAGAAUAAGCACCGGCUAACUUCGUG
Molecule: ribosomal RNA, 484 nt
Filed under: uncultured bacterium
Lineage: Bacteria
Description: partial 16S ribosomal RNA
Rfam family: Bacterial small subunit ribosomal RNA
Source: RNAcentral